UGUUAACAGGCUGUAUGAUGUUGGCCACA
RNAcentral lists this non-coding RNA (29 nucleotides) under Homo sapiens (human). Lineage: Eukaryota; Metazoa; Chordata; Mammalia; Primates; Hominidae. The record is from RNAcentral.